This 154-nucleotide ribosomal RNA is filed under the name uncultured bacterium. RNAcentral's name for it is "partial 16S ribosomal RNA". It matches the Rfam family "Bacterial small subunit ribosomal RNA", at positions 339 to 508 of the family's 1533-position model. The record is from RNAcentral.
CUACGGGAGGCAGCAGUGGGGAAUAUUGCACAAUGGGGGAAACCCUGAUGCAGCGACGCCGCGUGAGCGAAGAAGUAUUUCGGUAUGUAAAGCUCUAUCAGCAGGGAAGAAGAAAUGACGGUACCUGACUAAGAAGCACCGGCUAAAUACGUGC